RNAcentral lists this ribosomal RNA (322 nucleotides) under uncultured bacterium. RNAcentral describes it as "bacterial SSU rRNA". It matches the Rfam family "Bacterial small subunit ribosomal RNA", at positions 32 to 329 of the family's 1533-position model. The record is from RNAcentral.
AAUCAACGCUGGCGGCGUGCCUAACACAUGCAAGUCGAACGCGAAAGUCCCGCAAGGGAUUAGUAGAGUGGCAAACGGGUGAGUAACACGUGGGUGACCUGCCUUCGAGCGGGGAGUAACGUCCCGAAACGGACGCUAAUACCGCAUAACAUCCUGCCUUUUAAGUAGGUGGUGGAUCAAAGCCGGGAGUUCGCAAGAAACCUGGCACUUGAAGGAGGGGCCCGGCCGCCUGAUUAGCUAGUUGGUGGGGAAGUGGCCUACCAAGGCAACGAUCAGUAUCCGGCCUGAGAGGGCGGACGGACACACUGGGACUGAGACACGG